GAAAUGUUAAUUAUUUAUUCACAUAUACAUAAAUGGUUCAAUUCUUGAGACCUCUCUUUGAUGGUCAGAAUAAAUACAACUUCAGUAGUUUCAUAGCUUGUUUAUGCUGUUUCUGGUGUCUGCUUGUCAAUUCCUAAUGUGAGUAGAAUGCAGAAUCUCUUUCUACGAGCAAAAUCGUAUUUACCAUUUAGAUUGUGCUAAAAUAUGAUCCUACAGAUCUCAAUUAUCAUGAAACAAGAAUAGACAAAAUUGAUAAAAGCUUGAUUCUUACAGAAUUUGAGAGACAUUUCAUGAAUUAUUUGAAUAACCAAUUAUGCUCCAAUUUGCUCAAACGGUGUCAUUUGAAAGAUAUAUUAAUCUAGUUUCAGAUAAAUUAAGUUUUGUAUGAAUUAGAGUUUCCAGCAAGGAGUUAUAAAUAGUUUAGCAACCAAAGGUUAGAGAACGUCAUCUCUGUUUUGCAGAAUUUAUAGAGUUGAUUAGAACAGAUGUUUCAAUAGGCAUUUGUACUUCAAAUCUUUCAUAUAAGGUAUAAAAAGAAAUAUCUAUGAGUCUAGUUUCUCAUGAAGCAAGUUUUGCCAUAACUGGAUUCUUUAACAGAGAGUUAGAAGUAAAAUAGUACUAAAUGGUCAGAACUUACAAUCUUUGUUUUACAGAUUUCAUAGGGUCAAUUGAAAUAAAAGUUUAGGUAGGCAUUUAGACUCCAAAUUUGUCAAUCUUGGUAUCAAAAGAAAUAUCAAUAAGUCUAUUUUCGAAUGAAUUAGGUUUACCCAAAUCAGAGUUCGUUGCAGAAAGUUAUGGCUAGCAUAAAGCAAAAAGGUCAAAAUCUCAAAAAAUUCCAGAUUUAUAGUUUUAUUCCUAAACGAGGGAGAUAUCAUGUGCAAAGUCAAAAUCUUUCGAAUUUUUCAGAAUUGAGAUGAAAUCAGAGAUCAAGAUUAUUGUAAGAUGGGGUUAGAAUACUUGCCUUUGAAGGAUUAGAUCCCAAAUGAAAGGAUUUGAGCUAAAACCCUAAGCCCCAAAUCCUACCCCUUCUUCUUCUUCUUCUUCUUCU
Molecule: long non-coding RNA, 1048 nt
Filed under: Musa acuminata (dwarf banana)
Lineage: Eukaryota; Viridiplantae; Streptophyta; Magnoliopsida; Zingiberales; Musaceae
Description: long non-coding RNA (MACU_LNC004421)
Source: RNAcentral